RNAcentral lists this ribosomal RNA (699 nucleotides) under uncultured bacterium. RNAcentral describes it as "bacterial SSU rRNA". It matches the Rfam family "Bacterial small subunit ribosomal RNA", at positions 94 to 792 of the family's 1533-position model. The record is from RNAcentral.
ACCGGCGCACGGGUGAGUAACACGUAUGGAACCUGCCCGUAGCAGGGGGAUAAGCGGAAGAAAUUCCGUCUAAUACCGCGUAAUAACUCCGAGAGGCAUCUCCUGGGGUUUAAAGGGUAACACCGGCUACGGAUGGCCAUGCGGCGCAUUAGCUAGUUGGCGGGGUAACGGCCCACCAAGGCGACGAUGCGUAGGGGUUCUGAGAGGAAGGUCCCCCACACUGGUACUGAGACACGGACCAGACUCCUACGGGAGGCAGCAGUGAGGAAUAUUGGUCAAUGGGCGCGAGCCUGAACCAGCCAAGUCGCGUGAGGGAAGACGGUCCUAUGGAUUGUAAACCUCUUUUGUCGGGGAGCAAAAGACGCCACGCGUGGCGUUCCGAGAGUACCCGAAGAAAAAGCAUCGGCUAACUCCGUGCCAGCAGCCGCGGUAAUACGGAGGAUGCGAGCGUUAUCCGGAUUUAUUGGGUUUAAAGGGUGCGUAGGCGGAAUAUCAAGUCAGCGGUAAAAAUUCGGGGCUCAACCCCGUCGUGCCGUUGAAACUGAUGUUCUUGAGUGGGCGAGAAGUAUGCGGAAUGCGUGGUGUAGCGGUGAAAUGCAUAGAUAUCACGCAAAACUCCGAUUGCGAAGGCAGCAUACCGGCGCCCAACUGACGCUUAANCACGAAAGCGUGGUNUCGAGCAGGAUNANAUACCUGNUA